CUAUACACAACACAAGUACUAACAAAUGUAGCUAAAUGUUUGUCUUUUGGCAUCUACCGGUAUGUGUGUAAGUCUCUAUUCCUGGCAGGGACAAAACAUUGUGUCUGGCCCAGAGGAUAACAGGGUGUUAGAGUUUCAAGCUUGAUUUAGAAAGGUAAACACAUUCAGUCCAAGUCCUGACAGCCGACAUAUGUCAAAACAGAACAAAAUGACCUGAUCCGUUGUUCAUUCAUUACACAUGCUGAAUGGAGGCGUACAAUAGGUGAAUACAUUCAUUACAGCCAUUUUCCCCAUUUACAGGUGGGAACAGUCCCAAUUCAUAAUCACAAUAAACUCUAUAUCCUGUUCAACGGCCACAUCCCCUUUGGAACCUUCGCCCACUCGGACACACCCAUCCCCCUUGCUGAAGGAGUGGGUGUUUUUUUCCAUUCCAAAAAAAAGGUUCCAAAAAUUGCAACACAGCAGUUAAAGUUGAAUUAGGGCCCUGAAACAGGGAUUACUUUAGCUCCCACUUGCAGAGCUAAGUUCUCUGCUUCUGCUCGCCAUAUGAGCUUUAUACAGUGCUUAGAUAUCCCAUAUGGUUUUAACAUUCUACCUCGACCCAACUGUUUGUGUCCAGGAUAGCUUCCCAGGUCUGCGUCCCAAAUGGAACCCUAUUCCCUUUAUAGUGCACUGCUUUUGACCAGAACCCCAUAGUAAUCUGAUUUAGGGUUGCAAAAUUCCAGGAACUUUCAAUAAACGUCCUGGUUUCUCAGAAAACCAGGAUUUUAGGAAAACCAGGGAAUUUUGCACCCUACAGUGGUCAAAAGUAGGUGCAGGGAAUAGGUUGCCAUUUAGGGUGUAGGGAAUAGGGUGCCAUUUAGGGUGCAGGAAAUAGGAUGCCAUUUAGGGUGCAAGGGAAUAGGAUGCCAUUUAGGGUGUAGGGAAUAGGGUGCCAUGAAGGGUUCAACCCAUGUCUCUGCUGUUCUACAGCUCAUCAGGAAAGACAUAAUACAUCGUCUGGAAUAAAGAUAUCUUAGUUUUGCUCUACUUUCCUGAUUUGAAUCCCCUAGGCCUAGUUUUCUAAACAGAUAUACAGUAUAUAUAUAACUUUCUGAAAC
RNAcentral lists this long non-coding RNA (1100 nucleotides) under Salmo salar (Atlantic salmon). RNAcentral describes it as "lncRNA (ENSSSAG00000084054.1)". Lineage: Eukaryota; Metazoa; Chordata; Actinopteri; Salmoniformes; Salmonidae. The record is from RNAcentral.